Molecule: long non-coding RNA, 1482 nt
Organism: Strigops habroptila (Kakapo)
Lineage: Eukaryota; Metazoa; Chordata; Aves; Psittaciformes; Psittacidae
Exons: 2
Source: RefSeq, a predicted model, not a curated record
CUGCUCGGGUCGGGCUGGGUAUCGGUCGGCGGGUGAUGAGUCUCCAUCAUUCUGUAGCUACCCUCAGCUAGCUGAAAAUUGUACCUAAUGCUCAUCACAUCAAAGAAAGAGACAGCAUUCAAUGCAUACAGGUAAUGUAAAGUCUUCUGAAAUAGAGCCAAGUCAUUCAGCAACAAAUACUUUUUUUGUUGCAGUUCAGAUUUCCAUCUCAGCGUUGGUUGGUUUGGUUGUGUAGCAGCAUCUCCUGCAGACAAGGCACUUGUAAGGUUUCUCUUUUAUCUCUGGUGUCUAAUAAAGUCUUAAACGUAAUCUGACUUACUAAGACUUACCCCCCACCUUGUUAAACCCAACACAACCAGCCAGUAGGCUCAGCACUUCUUCGGGAAGGACGGACACAAACACACAUGCCUGCUUGCUACACACAGUGUGCACUUACUAUGUGUACAGUAAUGGCUCUUUUGCUGCUUUUUAAUUAAAGGCUUCAUGCUUUACAGGGAUUUAAACUCAGUGUUGUCCCUUUAACAUUUCUAACUGCCAAUCUGGAAUAGCAUCUGGAAUUCCAGUGCAUUUAAUCCUUGAGGGUAUAUUCUAUGAUGCAUAUGACCAAAAUGUGUGCAUUGAGGGACAAAUGUCCAGUAGCUUUAGGUGACUACGUUUUGCAAACUUCUCUUAAAGAUUUCCUUAAAACACCAAACCAAGCAAACAAACAAAGCCACACAUCAAAAAACCCCCAAACAACCCAUAGAAGAAUAUCUUAGGAGAAUUUUGAGAUAAUCAUAUUGAAAUAUUCAUUUUUUCAUUUAUUCCAGUAAUCUUUACAGAUGUGACCAUCCACCUUGAAAAUGCCAUUGCAAAUUUUCAUUACUAAUAACAGUAUUAAAGCGUUUUGUACUUUUUGAAUGAAGAUUUUUGCAAAUGAUCUUGUGAGAGAAUAUUGACAUUAGUGCACCACAGUUCUACAGACAUGUGAAAAUCACAGUUAAAACACCUACACAAAGUUCUUGUUAAACGCGACAACAGGGUUGUCACCAACAGGGGAGAGGGACGGAAGCUAUCACGAAUGGCAGAAGAAUAAUGGACGAUGGUAAACAUGUACUUGAAAUCUCUUGAUAGGAAGAACAAGAGAUGGAGUUGGAUAAGAAGAGGCGCCACGCCGGUUGUAUCUCUAAGCAACAGGCAAUCAAACAGCCAGAUAAGCAUCUUCAUAAAGUGCAACAGACUCGAAUGCAUGGGUCAUAACUGAAGAAUCACUUCCUGGUUCAGCUUCAGCAGUAAAAAAAUUUAUGACCUACUUAAAAAUCCUGCAAACCUAAAAAUGUAUUUUCCAAUAGAUUUGUUUUCUUUUUUCCAUAAAGAAUGUAAGCCAUUUAGGGCAUGCCUUAGUAAUAGCAGGAAAUGAGAAUACUUACAGUAGUGGACGAUAACACAAAAAAUGCAAUGUCGCACAUGAACUGUAUUUACAAUAAAACCUUUUGAUUCAGA